This 467-nucleotide ribosomal RNA is filed under the name uncultured bacterium. RNAcentral's name for it is "bacterial SSU rRNA". It matches the Rfam family "Bacterial small subunit ribosomal RNA", at positions 330 to 794 of the family's 1533-position model. The record is from RNAcentral.
GCCAGACUCCUACGGGAGGCAGCAGUGAGGAAUAUUGGUCAAUGGUCGGGAGACUGAACCAGCCAAGCCGCGUGAGGGAGGAAGGUACAGAGUAUCGUAAACCUCUUUUGUCAGGGAGCAAAGGCGUCCACGUGUGGACGAGAGGAGAGUACCUGAAGAAAAAGCAUCGGCUAACUCCGUGCCAGCAGCCGCGGUAAUACGGAGGAUGCGAGCGUUAUCCGGAUUUAUUGGGUUUAAAGGGUGCGUAGGCGGAGUGUCAAGUCAGCGGUAAAAUUUCGGGGCUCAACCCCGUCGUGCCGUUGAAACUGGCAGUCUCGAGUUGGAGAGAAGUAUGCGGAAUGCGCGGUGUAGCGGUGAAAUGCAUAGAUAUCGCGCAGAACUCCGAUUGCGAAGGCAGCAUGCCGGCUCCACACUGACGCUGAGGCACGAAAGCGUGGGUAUCGAACAGGAUUAGAUACCCGAGUAGA